UACGUAGGUGGCAAGCGUUGUCCGGAUUUAUUGGGUUUAAAGGGUGCGUAGGCGGCCUUGUAAGUCAGUGGUGAAAUACUCCAGCUUAACUGGAGGGGUGCCAAUGAUACUGCAGGGCUUGAGUACAGAUGAGGUAGGCGGAAUUGACGGUGUAGCGGUGAAAUGCGUAGAGAUCGGGAGGAACACCAGUGGCGAAGGCGGCUACCUGGACCAGCACUGACACUGAGGCACGAAAGCGUGGGGAGCAAACAGG
This 253-nucleotide ribosomal RNA is filed under the name uncultured bacterium. Its description in RNAcentral is "partial 16S ribosomal RNA". It matches the Rfam family "Bacterial small subunit ribosomal RNA", at positions 524 to 776 of the family's 1533-position model. The record is from RNAcentral.